RNAcentral lists this ribosomal RNA (495 nucleotides) under uncultured bacterium. RNAcentral describes it as "partial 16S ribosomal RNA". It matches the Rfam family "Bacterial small subunit ribosomal RNA", at positions 28 to 507 of the family's 1533-position model. The record is from RNAcentral.
GACGAACGCUGGCGGCGUGCCUAAUACAUGCAAGUAGAACGCUGAAGGAGGAGCUUGCUUCUCUGGAUGAGUUGCGAACGGGUGAGUAACGCGUAGGUAACCUGCCUGGUAGCGGGGGAUAACUAUUGGAAACGAUAGCUAAUACCGCAUAAUAUUGACUAUUGCAUGAUAGUCAGUUGAAAGGUGCAACUGCACCACUACCAGAUGGACCUGCGUUGUAUUAGCUAGUUGGCGGGGUAACGGCUCACCAAGGCGACGAUACAUAGCCGACCUGAGAGGGUGAUCGGCCACACUGGGACUGAGACACGGCCCAGACUCCUACGGGAGGCAGCAGUAGGGAAUCUUCGGCAAUGGACGGAAGUCUGACCGAGCAACGCCGCGUGAGUGAAGAAGGUUUUCGGAUCGUAAAGCUCUGUUGUAAGAGAAGAACGAGUGUGAGAGUGGAAAGCUCACACUGUGACGGUAUCUUACCAGAAAGGGACGGCUAACUACGUG